UACGAAGGGGGCUAGCGUUGUUCGGAAUUACUGGGCGUAAAGCGCAUGUAGGCGGUUCCUUAAGUCAGGGGUGAAAUCCCGGGGCUCAACCCCGGAAUUGCCUUUGAUACUGGAGAGCUAGAGUUUGGGAGAGGUGAGUGGAAUUCCGAGUGUAGAGGUGAAAUUCGUAGAUAUUCGGAGGAACACCAGUGGCGAAGGCGGCUCACUGGCCCGAAACUGACGCUGAGAUGCGAAAGCGUGGGGAGCAAACAGG
RNAcentral lists this ribosomal RNA (253 nucleotides) under uncultured bacterium. RNAcentral's name for it is "partial 16S ribosomal RNA". It matches the Rfam family "Bacterial small subunit ribosomal RNA", at positions 524 to 776 of the family's 1533-position model. The record is from RNAcentral.